Molecule: ribosomal RNA, 2035 nt
Filed under: Bacteroidales bacterium
Lineage: Bacteria; Pseudomonadati; Bacteroidota; Bacteroidia; Bacteroidales
Description: partial 23S ribosomal RNA
Rfam family: Bacterial large subunit ribosomal RNA
Source: RNAcentral
AUAUAACGAAGCGAACAAGAGCGAACGGAGGAUGCCUAGGCUUUUGGAGACGAGGAAGGACGUGGUAAGCUGCGAAAAGCUCCGGGGAACCGCAAACAGGUUUUGAUCCGGAGACGUCCGAAUGGGGCAACCCAUGCAGAUGAAGUCUGCAUACCGAAAGGGGUCAACGCAGGGAACUGAAACAUCUUAGUACCUGCAGGAAAAGAAAGAAAACAUCGAUUUCCUGAGUAGUGGCGAGCGAAAAGGAAAAAGCCCAAACCGAUAUUGUUACGGCAAUGUCGGGGUUGUAGGAACGCGAUAAACAAACAAUGAGGAACUAGAAGUGACUGGAAAGUCGCACCGAAGAAGGUGAAAGUCCUGUAUAGGUAAGCACAUUGGGCGUUAGCGAACUCCUGAGUAAGGCGGGACACGAGGAAUCCUGUCUGAACCCGCGGGGACCAUCCCGCAAGGCUAAAUACUCCCAAAAGACCGAUAGAGAACCAGUACCGUGAGGGAAAGGUGAAAAGAACCCCGAACAGGGGAGUGAAAUAGUACCUGAAACCGUUCGUUUACAAGCUGUAGGAGCACGAAAGUGCGACUGCGUGCCUUUUGCAUAAUGAGCCUACGAGUUAUUCCAUAUUAGCAAGGUUAAGUUCUUCAGGAACAGGAGCCGUAGCGAAAGCGAGUCUGACAAGGGCGAAGAGUUAGUAUGGAUAGACGCGAAACCUAGUGAUCUACCCUUGGCCAGAAUGAAGUCUCCGUAACAGGAGAUGGAGGUUCGAACUAGUAUCCGUUGAAAAGGAUUUGGAUGAGCUGAGGGUAGGGGUGAAAGGCUAAUCAAACUGGGAGAUAGCUCGUACUCCCCGAAAUGUCUUUAGGGACAGCCUCAGUAUAGCUUCAUGGAGGUAGAGCGACUGAUAGGAUGCGAGGGCUUCAUCGCCUAUCAAUUCCUGACAAACUCCGAAUGCCGUGAAGUGUUUACUGGGAGUGAGUCGCCGGGUGCUAAUGUCCGGUGGCGAGAGGGUAAUAGCCCAGACCAACAGUUAAGGCCCUUGAACGUGACCUAAGUUUAAAGAACGAAGUGAUGUCGCAGAGACAGCUAGGAUGUUAGCUUGGAAGCAGCUAAUCAUUUAAAGAGUGCGUAACAGCUCACUAGUCGAGCGGCGUUGCGUGGAUAAUAAACGGGAAUCAAGGUCACUGCCGAAGCUAUGGACUCUGAGAAGAGUGGUAGGGGAGCAUUCCGGUCGGCGUAGAAGGUGAUACGUAAGUAUUGCUGGAGCGUCCGGAAAAGAAGAUGUAGGCAUAAGUAACGAUAAUGUAUGUAGAAACAUACACACCGAAAACCCAAGGUUUCCUGAACAACGUUAAACGGAUCAGGGUAAGUCGGGACCUAAGUCGAACCCAAAAGGGGCAGACGAUGGACAAAUGGUUAAUAUUCCAUUACCUGUUAAUAAGUACAAAGGAGUGACGGAGGAAUGACACACACGCCAGCAGACGGAAUAGCUGGUUAAAGGAGGUAGGUAAAUUCGAAGGUUAAGAGCUAUCGAGUGCUGAGAACUGAAAGUACACAGAGUCUUCGGACGAAGUGAUAGAUGUGGUAAGUAGACUCCCAAGAAAAACUUCGGCGAAUAAAUAUUAACAGCCCGUACCGUAAACCGACACAGGUGGGUGAGGAGAGAAUCCUAAGGUGCUCGAGUGAAUCAUGGCUAAGGAACUAGGCAAGAUAACCCCGUAACUUCGGGAGAAGGGGACCCUCAGCAAUGAGGGCGCAGAGAAAUGGCUCAGGCGACUGUUUACCAAAAACACAUGGCUUUGCAAAUUCGAAAGAAUACGUAUAAGGCCUGACACCUGCCCGGUGCCGGAAGGUUAAGAGGGGAUGUUAGAGGAAGCAAUGAAUCGAAGCAUUGAAUCGAAGCCCCGGUAAACGGCGGCCGUAACUAUAACGGUCCUAAGGUAGCGAAAUUCCUUGUCGGGUAAGUUCCGACCUGCACGAAUGGUGUAACGAUCUGAGCACUGUCUCGGCCAUGAGCUCGGUGAAAUUGUAGUAACGGUGAAG